UCGAUUCUUUCCCUCAUUUCAGUCAGUUUCUCUUCUUUCCUUUCUCCCACCAAAUAUUUGGCCUUCAUCCACUCAAUCUUUGACGUGUUUGUUGUUCUCUUUUCAGAUUUUGUGGAAUCAAAUCUCCAUUCAUUGGCCAACUUAUCAUUUGACCGAGCUCUCGAGGCGGAGGGGAAUAUCCCGGUGAGCUCCCGAGCUUGAGGCAGAGGAGGUGGCUGAGUGGGAGGAGGGGAAGGCUCGCUGUCAAAAACCCUAGCCGCGACACCCCUGCUCCACUGCCACAGGGUGAUAGUGAUCGUUGCAAAGGUGAGUUCCGAAGCUAUCUUGAAGGGGAAAAAUGAAGAAGAAAUGUGUGAUGGAAACCACCAGUUCCAAUUACCUACCUAGGAACCGGACUAGACCGGUUCCAAGACUCUCAUCAGUCCAACCGGAUCACCUAUGGAACCAAUCACCCCUAUUUGUAAGUCCCUUAUUCUUUCAUUUGCAUUUGAUCUCAUUUAAUUUAAAUAUUUUCUUUUGCAUC
This 523-nucleotide long non-coding RNA is filed under the name Eucalyptus grandis. RNAcentral's name for it is "long non-coding RNA (EGRA_LNC004917)". The record is from RNAcentral. Lineage: Eukaryota; Viridiplantae; Streptophyta; Magnoliopsida; Myrtales; Myrtaceae.